AAAAUUAUUAUUUUAUUAUUUUAUCGAUUUGUGUCAUAUUUUGAAUCGGCCUAACUCGGGACUGGAAAUAUUUAUUAAUUUAUAAUAUUUAUUAAUUUAUCGGAUAUUAAUUUGUAGAGUUUCUACUGUACCAUCAUUAACAUCUUCACUGAAUCAGCAAUGACAAAAAUCAUAACAUUAUACUAAUUCUUUGUCGUUAUCGCCAUUAAAACAAUAUGAGUAAAACUUUACACACAAACGUAAAUACAAACAAAAUUAAUUUGACAAAGUGGGUGAAACAGCCUUCAAGAAUCAAGAGAGUCCAAAUUAGCCUUCAAUGACACAUAACAUAAUCGCCAAGUAAAUUAUUUUCGCUAUUAAUCAUUCUCAAUUACUACAUAUGAGUAUGUUGCGCCAAGUUCCUAGCUUACAAAUAUAUUGUAACCAGUGGUACGUGCACUUGUAUUACAUGAAUCUGAACUUAAUCUCCUUAACCACACAACAACAGCACAACUAUUAACAUGUCAAAUAGAGAAAAAGUGGUAUAAUGCGCCAUAACCUCUAUUUUACCAACUAAAAGCACUUUAACUCGAUCUUAUCAUCGACCAAAAGAAACCACGCGUUAAAAGCCCAUACACAACUAUACUUAGGAUGAUGGUAUGCGGACUACAGUAAUAUAAACCACACAUACGGACGUCGGACCAUUUAUUAUGAUAGCAUAACUAUAUCAUAAAAAUGUAAUUAUAAUACAUAUAGAAUUAAUGUAAUGAACGAUGAAGAACAUGUGACAAAAGUAUUGUCCUCACGGACCUCACCUCAUAAUGAUAAACCAAGAAUAAGUUCAUCAAUCAAGACAGUGACGAAAUCAUUCCCCAACUCUUCAACCACAUAAUCUCUCUCUUCACCAUUGAUACAACCCCAUUUCAUUUCCUUUACAUAAAUCUCUCUCUUUUCUCUCACUUCCCAACUCAUAAACAUACAUUCUUCUUCUUUUCUCCUCAACACCCAUUCUUCAACUGUCAUCACCAACUUAUCCUCGUCUCUUGUCUCAUUAUUAUGCCCUUUUUUGAAAAAAUAUAGCAAGAGACGGUCUACCUUCUGAGAUGCAAGCAAAUGACUUGGUUCCUCAAAUAAUCUAGACUUCACUAGAGCAAACAAACGGUGUGCUCGGCUUUCCGAUUGUUCUUCUUCGGUUGCUACCAAGUGAGAGUUGUAGUCUUCUCUCUCGACAUAUUCCUCUAUGCGUUUCUUUAAAUCCACAGGCUCAAGUCGUACGAAACUCUCUAAUCUUCUGGUUUUUCUCAAGAGAUUCUUCUCGUCGGUUUCUGUGUAUGGUUAUGAAGCGUUUACGGUGACCAACGCUUGUAUUUUUUUGGAGUAUGCCGCCGGUUCCUUCAGGUGGUGUGGUCAAGUUGGUGGGACUGGGAUCGACCUUUGGCUGGAUUGAAAAUUGGUUGGUUGUGCGCAGCGAAAGAGAUUUGUGUGUCAACAGAAUAGUUAUUCUAGAUUAUUCUAGACUUGGGGUUGGAAAUUUUAGGGCCAGUUAUUGUCUUGUGACAAUUAAAUCUUUUGUGGUCAUGGAGUUAUUAUAAGAGAAAGUGAUUCUUUGAAACUAAAAGGGGCUUAUUGAACUGAGCAUUUGAGAGAAUUUUAAUAUAUACUAAAUCCUAGGGAUUUUUAAAAAUAUUGGGAUUUGAGCAA
This is a long non-coding RNA of Brassica napus (rape), 1680 nucleotides long. RefSeq lists it as uncharacterized. The record is from RefSeq and is a predicted model, not a curated record. NCBI's taxonomy places the organism in Eukaryota, Viridiplantae, Streptophyta, Magnoliopsida, Brassicales, Brassicaceae. The transcript has 2 exons.